This 184-nucleotide antisense RNA is filed under the name marine metagenome. Its description in RNAcentral is "Antisense RNA which regulates isiA expression". It matches the Rfam family "Antisense RNA which regulates isiA expression". The record is from Rfam by way of RNAcentral.
GAUAACCAAGAAUAAUACGAGGGUCUAAUGUUGGAUUUAUAAGUCUAACUUCACCACCACCAGGGGCCCAUGUAUCAUAAGCUCCACCGAUGAAGCACCAGUUUAGAGACCAAGCAAGAGCACCUACUCCAAGAACAAUAAGAUGAUAUCCAAGGAUAUUUGUCAUCUGAUUUUUAUCUCUCCA